UCCCUGAUGGCUCAGAUGGUAAAGCGUCUGCCUGAAAUGCAGAUCAAACCUGGGUUCGAUCCCUGGCUCGGGAA
Molecule: transfer RNA, 74 nt
Filed under: Ovis aries (sheep)
Lineage: Eukaryota; Metazoa; Chordata; Mammalia; Artiodactyla; Bovidae
Rfam family: tRNA
About the family: Transfer RNA (tRNA) molecules are approximately 80 nucleotides in length. Their secondary structure includes four short double-helical elements and three loops (D, anti-codon, and T loops).
Source: Rfam by way of RNAcentral